AAAUUGAAGAGUUUGAUCAUGGCUCAGAUUGAACGCUGGCGGCAGGCCUAACACAUGCAAGUCGAACGGUAACAGGAAGCAGCUUGCUGCUUUGCUGACGAGUGGCGGACGGGUGAGUAAUGUCUGGGAAACUGCCUGAUGGAGGGGGAUAACUACUGUAAACGGUGGCUAAUACCGCAUAAUGUCGCAAGACCAAAG
RNAcentral lists this ribosomal RNA (198 nucleotides) under Salmonella enterica subsp. enterica serovar Schwarzengrund. RNAcentral's name for it is "partial 16S ribosomal RNA". It matches the Rfam family "Bacterial small subunit ribosomal RNA", at positions 1 to 206 of the family's 1533-position model. The record is from RNAcentral. Lineage: Bacteria; Pseudomonadati; Pseudomonadota; Gammaproteobacteria; Enterobacterales; Enterobacteriaceae.